This 1337-nucleotide long non-coding RNA is filed under the name Homo sapiens (human). RNAcentral's name for it is "HSALNT0395020". Lineage: Eukaryota; Metazoa; Chordata; Mammalia; Primates; Hominidae. The record is from RNAcentral.
GUAGCUCUGCAGACAUGGACAGGAGAGGCCCCGCCCUGCAGGAAUGUCAGGCAGCCAUCAGGCUUCAGAGUUCUACAUCGUAUCCUACUUACAGCCCUAAAUACCUGUUAACUGCCACCCCCUGGACAGAUUAUUACAGUGACAACAGAAAUAUAAGUCACAUAAGGAGCUGCUGAAUGCACUCAAGACUCAACAAUCUCCAAAGAUACUGGAAGGCACGAAUGGAAAUCUGGACUCUGACAACUGUCCUUAGCAUGUUAUCUUUUACGCCAAUGCUGGCCAAAGAGAAGGACUUAAAACGUUGUACUGAUCCUUACAAGAACUUAGUUUCCACUGUUUCUUUCCACUACUUUUGCUAAAUUCAAAUUGACCAACCAAUAGCUGCUUAACUAGGACCACACCUUGCUCUUCCUGCAUCUUAUCCCAUGAGCAACACGAUUUCAGUUUCCCCAUAAUUUCCAAGAACUUGCCAGUGAAUAAUUCUCGGAAUAAAACUGAACUAUGACUGUGAAACUGCCUUUGCAAAAAUCAUAACUGAGAAAAGAAGGUAAAAGAGAUGUGUCCUAACUGCCUUCAUCUUUCUUUUAACCUCCAAGCUGUCUUAUUCAUUGCUGGUGUAGGCUAAACUAAUUUUGGAAGAAACUUAGUUUAUGAUUUAACUUUGAAACCAAGAUAAUAGCAGCCCUUUCCCUAAACAAACCCCCUUCCUGCCUACAGCCUAGACUGGCUUUGCAGGAUUAACAAAAUAGCCACAAAAUUAGAAAUUAUGGCUUAGGAGUCAUGCAGCUGGAGGGUACAAGAAUCUGAACCUCUCCAAAUUGCUCCUGAGGAUAACAUCACUAUUGUAAAAUCUAAGAUCAGUGCUUCAGAUAUUUUGCAGACUCUGUGCUUAAAGGAUCAGCUGGCACUACCCAGGUCUUGAUAAACUGGCUCAGUUGGACUUGUGGCCUCUGCCUAGGAACUGAUUCAGCAUAAGAGGACAGCUUUGACUCCCUAUUAUUUUAUCUCUGACCUGAUCAAUCAGCACUGCCAACUUUCUGACCCCCUAUACACCAAAUUAUUCUUGAAAACCUCAGUCUCCAAGUUUUGGGAGAGACUGAUUUGAGUAAAACUCUGGUCCCCUGUACAGUCAGCUUUGCAUGAAUUAAACUCUUUCUCUAUUGCCAUUCCCCUGUCUAGAUAAAUCAGCUCUGUCUAGGCAGUGGGCAAGAUUAACCCACUGGGUUACAUGUGGCCUUUCCCAAUUCUAUCUUAUGAAAUAUUUAUCUACUUGGUCCCCAUAGUCAUCUUGAAAUGUGUUUCAUGUUGCAAUGUUUUAAUAAAGGCUUUAGCUAAUA